Molecule: ribosomal RNA, 253 nt
Filed under: uncultured bacterium
Lineage: Bacteria
Description: partial 16S ribosomal RNA
Rfam family: Bacterial small subunit ribosomal RNA
Source: RNAcentral
UACGUAGGUGGCAAGCGUUGUCCGGAUUUACUGGGCGUAAAGGGCUUGUAGGCGGUUCGUUAAGUCUGGUGUGAAAUCUCCCGGCUCAACUGGGAGGGGUCAUCGGAUACUGGCGGACUUGAGGUAGGUAGAGGAAAGCAGAAUUCCUGGUGUAGCGGUUAAAUGCGUAGAGAUCAGGAGGAAUACCAGGGGCAAAGGCGGCUUUCUGGGCCUAUCCUGACGCUGAGGAGCGAGAGCGUGGGGAGCAAACCGG